GUCCACGCUGUAAACGAUGUCGACUUGGAGUUUGUGGGCAUGACCCGUGGGCUCCGGAGCUAACGCGUUAAGUCGACCGCCUGGGGAGUACGGCCGCAAGGUUAAACUCAAAUGAAUUGACGGGGGCCCGCACAAGCGGUGGAGCAUGUGGUUUAAUUCGAUGCAACGCGAAGAACCUUACCUACUCUUGACAUCCAGAGAAUUUGCUAGAGAUAGCUUAGUGCCUUCGGGAACUCUGAGACAGGUGCUGCAUGGCUGUCGU
Molecule: ribosomal RNA, 262 nt
Filed under: uncultured bacterium
Lineage: Bacteria
Description: partial 16S ribosomal RNA
Rfam family: Bacterial small subunit ribosomal RNA
Source: RNAcentral